This 253-nucleotide ribosomal RNA is filed under the name uncultured bacterium. RNAcentral describes it as "partial 16S ribosomal RNA". It matches the Rfam family "Bacterial small subunit ribosomal RNA", at positions 524 to 776 of the family's 1533-position model. The record is from RNAcentral.
UACGUAGGGGGCAAGCGUUGUCCGGAAUCAUUGGGCGUAAAGAGCGUGUAGGCGGCUUGGUAAGUCCGCUGUGAAAGUCCAGGGCUCAACCCUGGAAUGCCGGUGGAAACUGUCAAGCUUGAGUCCGGAAGAGGCGAGUGGAAUUCCUGGUGUAGCGGUGAAAUGCGCAGAUAUCAGGAGGAACACCGAUGGCGAAGGCAGGUCUCUGGGCAUUAACUGACGCUGAGGAGCGAAAGCAUGGGGAGCGAACAGG